GAACUGAAGAGUUUGAUCAUGGCUCAGAUUGAACGCUGGCGGCAGGCCUAACACAUGCAAGUCGAGCGGAUGAAGGGGGCUUGCUCCUGGAUUCAGCGGCGGACGGGUGAGUAAUGCCUAGGAAUCUGCCUGGUAGUGGGGGAUAACGUCCGGAAACGGGCGCUAAUACCGCAUACGUCCUGAGGGAGAAAGUGGGGGAUCUUCGGACCUCACGCUAUCAGAUGAGCCUAGGUCGGAUUAGCUAGUUGGUGGGGUAAAGGCCUACCAAGGCGACGAUCCGUAACUGGUCUGAGAGGAUGAUCAGUCACACUGGAACUGAGACACGGUCCAGACUCCUACGGGAGGCAGCAGUGGGGAAUAUUGGACAAUGGGCGAAAGCCUGAUCCAGCCAUGCCGCGUGUGUGAAGAAGGUCUUCGGAUUGUAAAGCACUUUAAGUUGGGAGGAAGGGCAGUAAGUUAAUACCUUGCUGUUUUGACGUUACCAACAGAAUAAGCACCGGCUAACUUAGUGCCAGCAGCCGCGGUA
Molecule: ribosomal RNA, 526 nt
Filed under: Pseudomonas aeruginosa
Lineage: Bacteria; Pseudomonadati; Pseudomonadota; Gammaproteobacteria; Pseudomonadales; Pseudomonadaceae
Description: bacterial SSU rRNA
Rfam family: Bacterial small subunit ribosomal RNA
Source: RNAcentral